Long non-coding RNA from Herpailurus yagouaroundi (jaguarundi), 446 nucleotides. RefSeq lists it as uncharacterized. The transcript is spliced from 2 exons. The record is from RefSeq and is a predicted model, not a curated record. Lineage: Eukaryota; Metazoa; Chordata; Mammalia; Carnivora; Felidae.
ACGGCUCAGACGGUGGCUAAGAAGCUACUAGAAGACAUCUUACCCAGAGGGCUCCAGAGGGUGCACAAGGACAUUUGGCCGCGCCUCCGUGCCAUCUAUGAGGCUGGCCCGACCCCAACACCUCAUCAGUACAGGCCGGGAGACUGGGUCUACGUCAAGAGGCACCACCGAGAGACCCUCGAGCCGCGCUGGAAGGGACCCUACAUCAUGAGCUGACAUCCCCCACCGCUCUCAAAGUAGACGGCAUCGCAACCUGGGUCCAUCACAUCCAUGUUCGGCCAGCGGACCCCUCCUCAAUCCAGAAGGACUUCGUCAUGCGAUAGGCCAUCAAUCGGGACCAACACAACCCGCUCAAGCUCAAGCUACAGCACAUUUGACCCACCUAAUAUUGGUACCUCUGUUAACUCUGCUUGUCAUUGCUCAUGCUGCCGGGAGUCCCCACACCC